CAUUCUCAUUGUCUCGUUCAAUCUAACAACAAUAUGUCGUUUACUAUUGCACCAACUUUGUUUUUGGUCCUUGAACUCAUGGGAAUGCUGUUAAUUCAGCAAUCAGUGGGCGAAGUGUGCGGUUUUCGAAUGUCAAACAAAUGCUUAUAUUAGUAAGAUCCAUGUGAUUGUUUUACUAUUAAAAUAAAUGUUUCAGCGGAUAAUGUUA
Bactrocera latifrons is the source of this 208-nucleotide long non-coding RNA. RefSeq lists it as uncharacterized. The record is from RefSeq and is a predicted model, not a curated record. Lineage: Eukaryota; Metazoa; Arthropoda; Insecta; Diptera; Tephritidae. The transcript is spliced from 2 exons.